UUUCGGUCGGUAGCUGUAUGUUUGCGUGUACCGCUGGCUGUUGCUUUUACUGAAAACAAGGAUUAAUGCGUAUUUUCUUAUCUUCAAGAUGUAGGAGGUUUUGCUGACAGAAGGAACGUCGUGAGAAAUAACAUCAACACAUCACUAAGCGUCUUGCUGUUACUACUAAUACGAGAUUCUCAGUUGACGUGGAAGAUUAAAUUAUCAUAAGGCGUAAGAUUGUUGUAGCACGAAACCUGCGCGCACAGAUACGCAUUUCUUUUUUGUCGCCAUUCAAUGUGACCUCUGGUGUAUAGAAGAGAAAGCUGUCACACAAGCCUCUACCGGCGAACCAGAAGCAUUGUGUGAGUUGUUCGCGCCGAGAGCAGUGAGCGGCAUUUGAGCAGUGAUUGUUGGAAAGUUUUUUUAAAUUUAUAAACCGUGUGUAAACGAGUGAUAAAGGUUAAUUUAUUUGAAUUUAAAAUCAAAUGUCAUGUGGUUUGUAAUUUUUCUUGUGUAGUGCAACAAUUAGUGGAUAUCAACUUCUGCAUAGUUCGAUGGCAACUGAUUCUUGUCACUUUCUUGGUAAUUAAUGUGUGCUGUGGGAUCUAGUUCACAAAUAAGUUAGAUGCGAGUUGAGAGUACAACCUACAGUUAUGAGACUCGGAUUACGAAUGAAGACUAGCAUUUGUUGUACCUGUUUUAGAUGAUGCAAGAAUAUUUCAACAGUGUCAUGCGUUGAUUAUCAUCUAUAAUACAGUUAAUUGGAGUAAUAAGAUUGCUAAUUUGUGGUUCGUUUUGUUUCGUAAAUAUAGGUGUGAAAUUUCAGUUGUUUAUGCUCUGCAGCAUCCAGACUCCAGUACAUCGUACUUACAUGUAUUUAAUUUGGAUAUACUAUUAUUAUUGUUGCGUCCGUGUUAACUUAAACUAGAUACGAACAACACUUUAACUUCCCCAUCAGUAUCUCUAGAAGCGUUAAUGAAUAUGCCGGGGAGCCCUGCUAGCGGUUCUUCUUCGGAUUCGGAAGGGAGAAAAGCGACUGUGGAAGCUAACGUGUAUAUACCGUUAGCAAAUGGGAAACGUGACCAGGAAACGGAAUCCCCGGUCAAUGCCGAAUCAUCAG
This is a long non-coding RNA of Cryptotermes secundus, 1102 nucleotides long. RefSeq lists it as uncharacterized. The transcript is spliced from 2 exons. NCBI's taxonomy places the organism in Eukaryota, Metazoa, Arthropoda, Insecta, Blattodea, Kalotermitidae. The record is from RefSeq and is a predicted model, not a curated record.